This 849-nucleotide ribosomal RNA is filed under the name Streptomyces sp. RNAcentral's name for it is "bacterial SSU rRNA". It matches the Rfam family "Bacterial small subunit ribosomal RNA", at positions 56 to 926 of the family's 1533-position model. Lineage: Bacteria; Bacillati; Actinomycetota; Actinomycetes; Kitasatosporales; Streptomycetaceae. The record is from RNAcentral.
UGCAGUCGACGAUGAACCACUUCGGUGGGGAUUAGUGGCGAACGGGUGAGUAACACGUGGGCAAUCUGCCCUUCACUCUGGGACAAGCCCUGGAAACGGGGUCUAAUACCGGAUAACACUCUCACGGGCAUCUGUGAGGGUUAAAAGCUCCGGCGGUGAAGGAUGAGCCCGCGGCCUAUCAGCUUGUUGGUGAGGUAAUGGCUCACCAAGGCGACAACAGGUAGCCGGCCUGAGAGGGCGACCGGCCACACUGGGACUGAGACACGGCCCACACUCCUACGGGAGGCAGCAGUGGGGAAUAUUGCACAAUGGGCGAAAGCCUGAUGCAGCGACGCCGCGUGAGGGAUGACGGCCUUCGGGUUGUAAACCUCUUUCAGCAGGGAAGAAGCGAAAGUGACGGUACCUGCAGAAGAAGCGCCGGCUAACUACGUGCCAGCAGCCGCGGUAAUACGUAGGGCGCAAGCGUUGUCCGGAAUUAUUGGGCGUAAAGAGCUCGUAGGCGGCUUGUCACGUCGAUUGUGAAAGCCCGAGGCUUAACCUCGGGUCUGCAGUCGAUACGGGCUAGCUAGAGUGUGGUAGGGGAGAUCGGAAUUCCUGGUGUAGCGGUGAAAUGCGCAGAUAUCAAGAGGAACACCGGUGGCAAAGGCGGAUCUCUGGGCCAUUACUGACGCUGAGGAUCGAAAGCGUGGGGAGCGAACAUGAUUAGAUACCCUGGUAGUCCACGCCGUAAACGGUGGGAACUAGUGUUGGCGACAUUCCACGUCAUCGUGCCGCACCUAACGCAUUAAGUUCCCCGCCUGGGGAGUACGCCGCAAGCUAAAACUCAAAGGAAUUGACGGGGGCCCGCAC